UGAUGUUAGGUGCUUGCACUUGAAAGAUUUAACAUUGAGACGAGUGGCGAACUGGUGAGUAACACGUGGGUAACCUGCCCUUGAAGUAGGGGAUAACACUUGGAAACAGGUGUUAAUACCGUAUAACAACCAAAACCACCUGGUUUUGGUUUAAAAGACGGCUUCGGCUGUCACUUUAGGAUGGACCCGCGGCGCAUUAGCUUGUUGGUAAGGUAACGGCUUACCAAGGCGAUGAUACGUAGCCGACCUGAGAGGGUAAUCGGCCACAUUGGGACUGAGACACGGCCCAAACUCCUACGGGAGGCAGCAGUAGGGAAUCUUCCACAAUGGACGAAAGUCUGAUGGAGCAACGCCGCGUGAGUGAUGAAGGGUUUCGGCUCGUAAAACUCUGUUGUUGGAGAAGAACAGGUGUCAGAGUAACUGUUGACAUCUUGACGGUAUCCAACCAGAAAGCCACGGCUAACUACGUGCCAGCAGCCGCGGUAAUACGUAGGUGGCAAGCGUUGUCCGGAUUUAUUGGGCGUAAAGCGAGCGCAGGCGGUUUUUUAGGUCUGAUGUGAAAGCCUUCGGCUUAACCGGAGAAGUGCAUCGGAAACCGGGAGACUUGAGUGCAGAAGAGGACAGUGGAACUCCAUGUGUAGCGGUGAAAUGCGUAGAUAUAUGGAAGAACACCAGUGGCGAAGGCGGCUGUCUGGUCUGUAACUGACGCUGAGGCUCGAAAGCAUGGGUAGCGAACAGGAUUAGAUACCCUGGUAGUCCAUGCCGUAAACGAUGAGUGC
This 779-nucleotide ribosomal RNA is filed under the name uncultured bacterium. RNAcentral describes it as "bacterial SSU rRNA". It matches the Rfam family "Bacterial small subunit ribosomal RNA", at positions 45 to 816 of the family's 1533-position model. The record is from RNAcentral.